AUUGGUAAAAUGUACAAAUUUUUUGUACAUAUUACCAAAAUCCGGUAAAACUGAUGUCAGAUGUAAUGUACAUCCCUACCAGAGAUUCGUACAUUUUACUUCAUGCCAUUUGUAACCUUCAAUGUUUUCAUUCCUAGCGACUGUGAAGUGCGCACUUCGUAAUCGCCAUUUUUUUGUGGAAGCGAAGCAAUUCGGAGAUAUUCCGAAAUAUACUCAUUUUGGACGACGUUUCUUCUAUUCUACUACUGAUAGAAGCAUUUCCAAUUGCGAUCAAUCGUAAACGAACAUUUUACAACAGCCAUGAUUCGAUGCUAAUAUUUGGCGAUACAAACUAGGGAAAGGAAGAACCAAUAACGAUCCACCAUCGGUCCGUGCAAACGGUAUCAAAUGAGCGUAUCUUUUCGUCGACCAACGGCAGCGACCAGCGAAUCAACAAGUGCAGCUGAUUCCAGCAUGAAUAGCUCUUCUGUUUCUUCACUGGAGCAUCGAAAAUCCCUAUCAGGCUCAGGUGCAGGCAAGAAUCAAUGAAGGAGGAGCAAGCUACGCUACCGCAAGUAUAGUCAUUUGCUCAUAAAAUUUACAAAAUGUAUCGAAACUCUCUAGGAAAAGUGUCGUCAUUCGUUUUUUCUACAAACUGAUAACCUCUGCGUGAUAAUGAUGUGUCAGGAAGAUCCAAUCAACUGCUUUUCUCAACCGGAGAAUGACAUGGAACACGAAGAACGUCAGAACCGACUACGUGCUCUGUACAAUCAUCAGGAUCUGUUCCAGGAGGAGAGUGUUGAAUUUGAUACUGGAAAGCAUCGACAAAAUCAAUGUCAUAUCGUCACUAGGUUUCAUGAUUUCCUUCUGGCUAAUGAUGAAAAAGUUGGGAGUCGAUAUCCGGAUAUCUGUUCCAACUACUAGCGGUUGUCAUCAAGGAAAACUCAGUUUGCUAACUCAAAUCAUUUUAAUUGGCUCAUCCCCCAUCUUGGAACGCAAGCAUCUAGUAAGGACUCCGGAUCGAUUUGUAAAUAUCUCGCCUCUCGAGAACCAUAAUCGUGCUCCGAUGAUUUUGUAUGUGUUGUGUUCACUGUGCGUUGGUAAUGGUCGGUAUGGUUGGUCGGUAAUCCUAAUAUCCUCGUUCAUCGUGUUGAGGAAUCUGGGGUGUACCAGAAGUGUUACUUUGAAAUUACUAUGGACCAUAACGGACAAACAUGACACCGCGUUUGCAAAUUAAUUGGACCAAUACUGCUGAAUAUGUUGAGGAUGUAAAAAUGGGGCGAAAAUGACGUUGGUAAUAAUUUGCAUACUCAUGAUUCCGGACGUGGCAAAACUAUUCAUCGCAAAAGGAAUGGAAUUGCACGCUAGAUCUCAGCGUCUCGGUGAUACGGUUUAUGUUCAAUGGAGAGCCAAUGCAUGUUUGAUUUUAAUCUUACUGGAAUUUUUUUUUCCGGUGAUGAGCUGCUCGUCGAAGCUAAGUUGUCAAUUUUAUUUUGGUUUCCGCGUUUCUGUCUGCGAUA
Long non-coding RNA from Toxorhynchites rutilus septentrionalis, 1499 nucleotides. RefSeq lists it as uncharacterized. The transcript has 3 exons. Lineage: Eukaryota; Metazoa; Arthropoda; Insecta; Diptera; Culicidae. The record is from RefSeq and is a predicted model, not a curated record.